GCGGCUAUGGCGAAACUGGCAGACGCGCAGGAUUUAGGAUCCUGUCCCGAAAGGGGUGGGGGUUCGACUCCCUCUAGCCGCA
RNAcentral lists this transfer RNA (82 nucleotides) under Omnitrophica bacterium GWA2_52_8. Its description in RNAcentral is "tRNA-Leu". It matches the Rfam family "tRNA". Rfam says of the family: Transfer RNA (tRNA) molecules are approximately 80 nucleotides in length. Their secondary structure includes four short double-helical elements and three loops (D, anti-codon, and T loops). Lineage: Bacteria; Pseudomonadati; Candidatus Omnitrophota. The record is from RNAcentral.